CUAUGAAUUUUUUAUAUAUGUUACAGGCCGUACAUGAAAUCAUACCGUAAGUAUACGGUCUAGGCGGUAUCUAUAUGGUCUAGAUGGCACAGACCGUAUGGAAAUGACGAGGUAUUUUAUAUACGGACUAGACCAUUUACAUACGGACUACCGUAAUUUAGACUGUAUGUUCAAUCGCAAGUGUCUAGUUGCCGUUUAGUUUUUGUCUCGUUUUGCUCCAAUUUACAAAAUAUUUUGCAGCAAAAUAAGCACAGUGGUGACAUUCGUUAAAAUUUAAACGUUUUUACUGUUUAAUGCAAUAGAUUUCCACAAUGGAAUUACACAAACAAAGGUUUUAUGAACAACUGUAUGAACGAAGAAAAGACGUUGCCGAUAACAACCGCGGCUUAACGAGAGAAAAAUAUAGUAGUCUCAUUGAAGAAGUAAAAAUUGCUAAGGCUGCUAAAAAAAAAAAGUCCAAGAAUGCACUGGCUCUUAAAGCAUUAUGAUGUGUUAUCUGUUCAGGGGGUAGAAAAACUGAUAGUGCCUCUUAACAAUGAUUUAGUUGAUGUAAUAUAUUACGUCCAUGACGACGAGUUGUUUAACAUUCUUCAAGAACUACACACAUCCACAGGUCAUGGUGGUAGAGAUCGCAUGAUGAAAAAAACAAAGGAAAAAUACAAGAAUAUAGUGCGUACUGAAAUUUUAUUGUUUAUUAACUUGUGCGCUCCAUGUCAAAUGAAACAAAAAAGGGAAAAGAAGGGAAUUAUAUCAAAACCGAUGAUCUUCAAUGAUCUGAAUUCCAGAUGUCAAGUAGACUUAAUCGA
This is a non-coding RNA of Onthophagus taurus, 806 nucleotides long. The record is from RefSeq and is a predicted model, not a curated record. NCBI's taxonomy places the organism in Eukaryota, Metazoa, Arthropoda, Insecta, Coleoptera, Scarabaeidae.